GGUUCAAGUCCCCUCUAUCCCCA
RNAcentral lists this transfer RNA (23 nucleotides) under Gnidia renniana. Its description in RNAcentral is "transfer RNA (UAA)". Lineage: Eukaryota; Viridiplantae; Streptophyta; Magnoliopsida; Malvales; Thymelaeaceae. The record is from RNAcentral.